AUGACUAUGGCGAAAUAGGUAGACGCGGUUAGUUUAGGACUAACUCUCUAAGGGUUCGAGUCCCUUUAGUCAUA
Molecule: non-coding RNA, 74 nt
Organism: Hemisphaericaspora subhashii
Lineage: Eukaryota; Fungi; Ascomycota; Pichiomycetes; Serinales; Debaryomycetaceae
Source: the annotation of a RefSeq genome assembly